AGCUUUAUUGUCUUUCCUUUUCCUAGGGACGGCCAUUUUCCUUGACAACUCCAUGCUGAGGCACAGUAACAAAGAUGUUCUGCUGCCCAUUAGAGGCACCCAGCGAAUGGCAGGGGUGGAGACACAGGUUUCAGACGUGCAUGCACACCUGAGAGGAGUGAGCUGACAGACCCUGAUAACGGAGGCAGCAAUUGUCAAUGAAGAGAUGGCACUAAUUGUUAUUUGGUUUUGUCAGCAACACUGGGAUAUUUGCUGAACCGCUCAGGAGAUUUUCUUUCCCCCCAGCUUAGAAGAAACCAAUUUGAGCACUGUUUGGAAGAAGACGACAGCAGAGAGAUGGCAGGAAAAGUAAGAGCGGUGGAGAGAGAGGAUACAGGCCUGGCAAACUUUCCUAGUCACUUAGAAGUGUGGUCUUCCAGUCAACACAAGGAGUUAAAGAAAGCUACAGCCACUGCAGGUCUUACUCUGUGAUCCAGGCUGGAAUGCAGUGGCAUGAGCUCAUCUUACUGCAACCUCCAUCUCCCUGACUCAAGUGAUACUCCCACCUCGGCC
Pan troglodytes (chimpanzee) is the source of this 552-nucleotide long non-coding RNA. RefSeq lists it as uncharacterized. The transcript has 3 exons. The record is from RefSeq and is a predicted model, not a curated record. NCBI's taxonomy places the organism in Eukaryota, Metazoa, Chordata, Mammalia, Primates, Hominidae.